UACAGAGGUCCCAAGCGUUGUUCGGAUUCACUGGGCGUAAAGGGCGUGUAGGCGGUCAAGUAAGUGGAAUGUGAAAUCCCCCGGCUUACCCGGGGACCGGCAUCCCAUACUGCUUGGCUUGAGUACGGGAGAGGAUGUGGGAAUUCCUGGUGUAGCGGUGAAAUGCGUAGAUAUCAGGAGGAACACCGGUGGCGAAGGCGCACAUCUGGCCCGAUACUGACGCUGAAGCGCGAAAGCUAGGGGAGCAAACGGG
Molecule: ribosomal RNA, 253 nt
Filed under: uncultured bacterium
Lineage: Bacteria
Description: partial 16S ribosomal RNA
Rfam family: Bacterial small subunit ribosomal RNA
Source: RNAcentral